GUUCCAAUUUCAGGUUUUGUGAGGGCUGGGCUGUGAAAAAAUAUGAGUAUUUUUUUUGUAUUGUUUCAUUGAAAAUCUAUGUUUUGGACGGUGUUAGGAAGUGAUGUCAUUUCCCUCCGACUGACGUCUGUUCACGUCUCCUCCCUCAACUAAGAGCGCGCUCACAUUGCUAUUGUUCAAGAUGGCGGAUUGGGUGGACAAAACUCUUGAGCCAUGAGAAACCCAGGCAGACAGGCAGUGUGUCCUUGUCUUUCUGAGAAGCCCACAGUCCUGGCAGAAGGCUCUACCUGCCCUUCGACACGGUCCCAAAACGGCCCAAAACACGGUUACAUUUUACAAGACUGACAGCUGUUUGCAGACUGUAGUGAACAUGGUGAUUUGGAUAACCUCACAUGUUUUUAGAAAAAGCCAACAGAAACGCUGUGUUUUAAUUUUUACCCUUUUUUUAAAUUAGUGGUCCAUUACAUGAUAUGUCUUAAAAUGUAAAAGUUGUAUUUUCUAAUGCAUGCAAGGGGGCAUUUUUGCAAUGGAUAUUUUUGAUUGAUCCAGUUUUAAUGGAUGUCUGUCUGUCAGGAAGUGACUGAUGUGAACAUUUUUUUUCUUCUUGAUCUAAUUAAUGUUCCUAGAUCACUCUGUGACACACCCACACACAAUUUGACUCCUGUUUAACUUCCCUGACUUCUUUUGAUUGUAUGUUUGUACUGUCUGCUUCUGGGGCAACAAGAAACUGUUGAAGCAAUCUUUAAGUAGACAGGCAAGGGAUUUAGUCUAAAAAGGCCCUUAUCUACCUCUGCAAUGUUGUAUUGGUGUAAUCAUUCUUCAAGCAAAGGCAGGAACAACAAGACUUUCUACUUUAGUUACCUUAACUCUCGGGCCUUUUCGUGUCCAAUAUUACAUCAAACAUUCAGUGGCAUUAGUGAUAAUGUCUGCCUCCACCGUAUCCUGCUGAUGUAAUCUGGCCAGAGACAGAAAGACAGAAAAGGAACAACACUCUUUCUUACUCCCCCUUUGAGCGCUCAUAACCUGAAUUGUCUUCUAUCUGCAUCAAUCUUUAUCACAGCUAUGAUCAAGGACAGCAUUAGUACAAGUUAAAAUACUUUUGAAACUACACUACACUCUUAUACAAGUGGGUAUAAUUCAUAGGAAAACAAGACUGUGGAUGAAUUAUACACCCCUCCAGUGUAAAAGAGGUUUUGCUCUAAAAUUUACACUAAACAGAUUCCUCGGUCUUGUUGCACAAAAUGUUUAUUCAAACCUGUUCUCAUUUAACUAUAAUUGUCGAACUCUACAAAGGGAAGAUGUCACACUCCUUUUUAAUAUAUCAGGUAGUUUGUUAUUUAAAAGUCAUUAUAAACUGUAUGCUGUAUGCAAAAUGUUAAGUAAACACGUUAUGUCCUUGUGUAAA
This is a long non-coding RNA of Clupea harengus (Atlantic herring), 1405 nucleotides long. RefSeq lists it as uncharacterized. The record is from RefSeq and is a predicted model, not a curated record. Lineage: Eukaryota; Metazoa; Chordata; Actinopteri; Clupeiformes; Clupeidae.